GGCAACUUGUGGGAGCAAAGAUGGAAGACUACCAGGGCUCGGAGGAGACUGCUUUUGUUGUUGAUGAAGUGAGCAACAUUGUAAAAGAGGCCAUAGGGAGCGCCAUUGGAGGCAAUGCUUACCAGCACAGCAAAGUCAAUCAGUGGACCACCAACGUAGUGGAGCAGACUCUAAGCCAGCUCACCAAGCUGGGGAAGCCAUUUAAGUACAUUGUGACAUGUGUAAUUAUGCAGAAGAACGGAGCUGGAUUACACACAGCGAGUUCCUGCUUCUGGGACAGCAAUACGGAUGGGAGCUGCACCGUGCGAUGGGAGAACAAGACCGUGUACUGCAUCGUCAGCACCUUCGGGCUGUCCAUCUGACCUCUGGAGCAAGCCUGUGACCUCGUCUUCUCAGCAUUUCUGUCCCAUCUUCUAACCACCAACCAUGAAUUCAGUGACACCUUCUUCCUCUAUUAUGUUUUGUGGCACUCUCAAAAUGUAAAGGAAUAAACCAAAUGACUGCUGUGCGUGAGCCACACAAUCUUAGUCUCUGUGGGUAGCUCUGGAGCCUGUAUGGCCACCUGUCUUAACUCUGUGUUUCUUUUCCAAGGUGCUAAAAACUGAAUUCUGCAAGUGGGAAAUGCUAUUCUUUGAAAUGAUUAAUUUU
Molecule: RNA transcript, 648 nt
Organism: Octodon degus (degu)
Lineage: Eukaryota; Metazoa; Chordata; Mammalia; Rodentia; Octodontidae
Gene name: dynein light chain Tctex-type 1 pseudogene
Exons: 3
Source: RefSeq, a predicted model, not a curated record